UACGUAGGGGGCUAGCGUUGUCCGGAUUUAUUGGGCGUAAAGGGCGCGUAGGUGGCCUUCUAAGUUGAACGUGAAAUCCCUGGGCUCAACCCAGGAACUGCGUCCAAGACUGGGAGGCUUGAAUCCGGGAGAGGGAUGCGGAAUUCCAGGUGUAGCGGUGAAAUGCGUAGAUAUCUGGAGGAACACCGGUGGCGAAGGCGGCAUCCUGGACCGGUAUUGACACUGAGGCGCGAAAGCCAGGGGAGCAAACGGG
Molecule: ribosomal RNA, 253 nt
Filed under: uncultured bacterium
Lineage: Bacteria
Description: partial 16S ribosomal RNA
Rfam family: Bacterial small subunit ribosomal RNA
Source: RNAcentral